Molecule: transfer RNA, 67 nt
Filed under: Pectinaria gouldii
Lineage: Eukaryota; Metazoa; Annelida; Polychaeta; Terebellida; Pectinariidae
Description: tRNA-Asp
Source: RNAcentral
GGAGAUCUAGUUAAAAAAUAACCUAAGACUGUCAGCCUUACAUUGCCGGACUACUCGGCGAUCUCCA